AUUAAUCUUACGUAUUAAUUGUUUUUAUUGAAGUUUUCUGUUUAAAAUUUAAAUACUUUAUACUUCUAGAUAGUUAUUAAAUGAAACUCUAAAUAUUAUACUCACAAAAACUAGGUAAAUAGCAAGUAGCAAUCUACCAAAUUAUGAGAAAUAUUUUCCGUGACUUCAAGUAUUAUCUAGUCAACUUACAUAGUUUAAUUCACUACUUCUCUAACUGAAGACAGAAUUAUAAUGAACAAAAUGAAUAAUAUUCAAACUGAUGAUGCAGAUGGAGCAUUUGUUUACUAUAAUGACUUAAAUAUGGAGAGAAAUAAAGAGCUUCUUCUUACUCUACGACAAGAAAAUGGACAACUUCUUAAAAAAUUAAAUAUAUUAAAUGAAGCAAUUGAUGUUCUUAAAGACAAUAAUAGUGAAGAGAAAAUUACUUAUUAUGAUAAGGUGGAUUUUAAUAAGUAACUAGCACUUAGCAGUGUUGUAAAAUAUUUGAGUAAAAGUAUUCAAUUACUUUUUUUUAAUAUUAAAUACUAAAAUACUUUUUUUAAUUAUUUUAAUGGUAUGUGCUAUGUAUAUUUUAAAUUCAGUCUUAUAAAAGCAUUCACAAUGUUCACAAUUCAAAUUGCUUUCAAUUUUAACUUCUCCUUCAUACAGUCAUUAAACAAAUAUAUGUAUAUAAAUAUUAGAACUUAAUUAAUGUUAAAACAAUAUUUUGAUUGCAUUGAUUAAAAAAUUAUACUUUCAAUACUGUUUUUAAAUAUAGUUUAUAAUUGCAGUUUUUUUCUUUAAGUGAAGUAUAAAGAAAAUGUAGGUACCCACUCAUAAUCGUAUCAGUGAAAUGAAUAAUUAUUGUAACUUUAAAAUUUAAAUAUUAAUAUAACUAACAAAAUAUAUUAUAGUAUCCUAUUCUCCCCAGUGACCUACCUAAAAAUAGCAAAGGUCCUUAUCAUGGCUAAUAGCUAUCUUUUUUUUUCUGAAGUAAAAAAUGUGUUCUGUCCCAUUCAUAUUUCUGGAAGACGAAUGGUACUUUAGGAGGUCAAAAUAUACAUUAGUGCUACAUGUUUUUGACAUUAAAUAUUAUGUUAAUGACUAUUGUAAGUACAUAAGUAUAUAUAUAAACAAAAUUAAAUAAUCAGUCUUUAAUUCUUAUUAUAAACAAACAAAUAAACAAAUAUUGAUAUAUAACAUAGAAUAUAAAGUAUAACUUAUA
Molecule: long non-coding RNA, 1204 nt
Organism: Aphis gossypii (cotton aphid)
Lineage: Eukaryota; Metazoa; Arthropoda; Insecta; Hemiptera; Aphididae
Exons: 3
Source: RefSeq, a predicted model, not a curated record